AGUGAACGCUGGCGGCGUGCUUAACACAUGCAAGUCGAACGGAUGAAAUAAGCUUGCUUAUUUCGUUAGUGGCGCACGGGUGAGUAAUGUAUAGCUAACCUGCCCUUUAGUGGGGGACAACAGUUGGAAACGACUGCUAAUACCCCAUACUCCUUCUGAUCUUAAGAUAAGUUGGUAAAGAUUUAUUGCUAAAGGAUGGGGCUCUAUGGUAUCAGCUAGUUGGUGGGGUAACGGCCUACCAAGGCGAUGACGCCUACAUGGUCUGAGAGGAUGAUCAGGGACACUGGAACUGAGACACGGUCCAGACUCCUACGGGAGGCAGCAGUGGGGAAUAUUGCACAAUGGAGGAAACUCUGAUGCAGCAACGCCGCGUGGAGGAUGACGCAUUUCGGUGUGUAAACUCCUUUUAUAAGGGAAGAUAAUGACGGUACCUUAUGAAUAAGCACCGGCUAACUCCGUGCCAGCAGCCGCAGUAA
This 476-nucleotide ribosomal RNA is filed under the name uncultured bacterium. RNAcentral's name for it is "partial 16S ribosomal RNA". It matches the Rfam family "Bacterial small subunit ribosomal RNA", at positions 29 to 523 of the family's 1533-position model. The record is from RNAcentral.